This 492-nucleotide ribosomal RNA is filed under the name uncultured bacterium. RNAcentral's name for it is "partial 16S ribosomal RNA". It matches the Rfam family "Bacterial small subunit ribosomal RNA", at positions 29 to 507 of the family's 1533-position model. The record is from RNAcentral.
AGUGAACGCUGGCGGUAGGCCUAACACAUGCAAGUCGAACGGCAGCACAGUAAGAGCUUGCUCUUACGGGUGGCGAGUGGCGGACGGGUGAGGAAUACAUCGGAAUCUACUUUUUCGUGGGGGAUAACGUAGGGAAACUUACGCUAAUACCGCAUACGACCUACGGGUGAAAGCAUGGGAUCUUCGGACCUUGCGCGAUUGAAUGAGCCGAUGUCGGAUUAGCUAGUUGGCGGGGUAAAGGCCCACCAAGGCGACGAUCCGUAGCUGGUCUGAGAGGAUGAUCAGCCACACUGGAACUGAGCCACGGUACAGACUCCUACGGGAGGCAGCAGUGGGGAAUAUUGGACAAUGGGCGCAAGCCUGAUCCAGCCAUACCGCGUGGGUGAAGAAGGCCUUCGGGUUGUAAAGCCCUUUUGUUGGGAAAGAAAAGCAGCAGGUUAAUACCCCGCUGUUCUGACGGUACCAAAAGAAUAAGCACCGGCUAACUUCGUG